Molecule: ribosomal RNA, 491 nt
Filed under: uncultured bacterium
Lineage: Bacteria
Description: partial 16S ribosomal RNA
Rfam family: Bacterial small subunit ribosomal RNA
Source: RNAcentral
AGUGAACGCUGGCGGUAGGCCUAACACAUGCAAGUCGAACGGCAGCACAGUAAGAGCUUGCUCUUACGGGUGGCGAGUGGCGGACGGGUGAGGAAUACAUCGGAAUCUACUUUUUCGUGGGGGAUAACGUAGGGAAACUUACGCUAAUACCGCAUACGACCUACGGGUGAAAGCAGGGGAUCUUCGGACCUUGCGCGAUUGAAUGAGCCGAUGUCGGAUUAGCUAGUUGGCGGGGUAAAGGCCCACCAAGGCGACGAUCCGUAGCUGGUCUGAGAGGAUGAUCAGCCACACUGGAACUGAGACACGGUCCAGACUCCUACGGGAGGCAGCAGUGGGGAAUAUGGGACAAUGGGCGCAAGCCUGAUCCAGCCAUACCGCGGGGGUGAAGAAGGCCUUCGGGUUGUAAAGCCCUUUUGUUGGGAAAGAAAAGCAGCAGGUUAAGACCCCGCUGUUCUGACGGUACCAAAAGAAUAAGCACCGGCUAACUUCGU